AUGUGGCGUGGAUUUAAGGAUCACAUCCCCCUGGUCAUAGAUUCUACAAGGUGCAGACUGGGAUCUGGCAAACUCAUAUCCUUCUGGCACGACCUCUGGCUAGAUGCUGGCAGACUGCACUUACUACUACCAGUCCUCUAUUCUUUUGCCAGAAACCGCUGCUGCUCAGUUAGUUCACAAUUCUUGGAUGGGGCCUGGUCAGUGCAACUCCACCCCAACCUCUCCCACACUGCUGAAAAUGAGCUGCACCUGCUUCGGCAACUCAUUGCACACAUCACACCUGACGGGUCGCGACCAGACAUGCGUACUCCAGCUGUGUUUGCUAAGACUGCCACUACUGCUUUUUUCUACUGGCUGCUGACCUUCCGAGGAGUCACCUGUGUUUUCCGCGGUUGGGUCUGGGACGUGCUCAUCCCUCUCAAGUACAAGACCUUUCUCUGGUUGGCCUUUUGGGAUCGGCUAAACACCAAGCACAACAUGGUCAAGAAGCAUUGGGUAGUGGUGGCUCCAAACGCAGGCUGUGAUCUCUGUCCUGCAGUGGAAUCAGUUCAUCACAUAAUGCUACACUUCAGGGCAGCGUCUAUGCUCUGGCACCGGCUGCAACUGGCAAAUAUAGCUGGCAGAUCACCAGACAUACUGUCCUUCGUCCAACAAGCUGCUGCUCUUUGA
This 669-nucleotide ribosomal RNA is filed under the name Triticum aestivum (bread wheat). Its description in RNAcentral is "partial small subunit ribosomal RNA". Lineage: Eukaryota; Viridiplantae; Streptophyta; Magnoliopsida; Poales; Poaceae. The record is from RNAcentral.